Delphinapterus leucas (beluga whale) is the source of this 2339-nucleotide non-coding RNA. The record is from RefSeq and is a predicted model, not a curated record. NCBI's taxonomy places the organism in Eukaryota, Metazoa, Chordata, Mammalia, Artiodactyla, Monodontidae.
GAUACCCCACAUCCAAAGACAAAGGAGAAGCCACAAUGAGACGUUCUGAAGGCUGGGAAGGCCAAGAUCAAAGUGCUGGCAGAUUCAAUGUCUGGUGAGAGCUUGCUUCCUGGUCCAUAGACUGCCUAUGUGUUCUCACUGUGUCCUCACCUGGCAGAAAGGGCAAGUGAUUAGCCAGCGGCUUUGGUAGUGGUCAUUGUCAUCAAAACUGCCAUGGAAGCAAAAUUCCAUAGCCUGGUGUGCAGCCCUCAGAAAGCUCCUCUUAUACUUCAAGUUCUCAUUUAAAGGAUCAGUUUAUCCUGAAAUAUGUUACAGAGGAGAAAUGGAAAGAUUCUUUGAAAAAUUUUAUCAUUAUACCAGAACAUCUUCUGGAAAUAUCAGAAUGAGCUGACCCUAGACACUGACGCCAUCACCCAUCAGAAGCCAUGACCCGUGAUUUAUGGGUGUGAAUUAGAUCGUAGACUCUCAAGAGAAUUGACACCCUCAGCAACUGCAAAAUGAAGAAAUCUGUGUCAUUUUGCUCAGGAUGAGUGAGUAUACCAACAGCAAUGAUGACCUUUAUUUUCAAAUCAUGGACAAUCAGAGGUAUAGAUUUACACGGGGAUUGUAGGCCUGGGAUUAGGCCAUUGAAUUUUUAACUUCCAUGUGAUAUUUUUUACGUGACUUUUUUCUAAGCCAGAUUCUGCCAUGCUAUACUUGCUCAAUUUAUUCUUUUUUUAAACUUAGAAGCAGAACUUUACUAUAUCUACUAAUUUUAUCUUAACCCUUCUAAGUUGUAGAAAGGCUUUUAAGUUUUAAUUUUAUCAUCUGUACUACUAAUUAGCAUUUCCAGCUUUAUGAUGCUAAAACUUUAGCAAGAAUGGCACCUCUGUGAAGGCACGAGCUCUGUUCACUGGUCAGAAUGUAACACAGUACAGUUACUUUGGAGGUGAAUUUGGCAAUGUAUUUUAAAAUUAAAGUUGAAAAUGCAGGAACCCAAUAAAUCCAUCGCUAGGUAACUCUGGAGAAAAAGUUAAAUAUAUGCACAUGGAGAUACGUACAAAGAUGGUCAUCGCAGCACUGUUUGUAGUGGCCAAGACUUGUGUAAAACCUAAAUGUACAUCAGUCAGGAAAUAAUUAAGGACUCUGGAAUACUCUGUAGCCAUUAAAAUGAACAAGGUAGAUCCAUGUUUAAUUAUCAUGGAAAGAAUUCUAAGACAUACACUGAGCGAAAACACAAGUUACUGAAAGUUAGGGAAACAUGAUACCAUUUAUGUAAAGAUACAUACAGUCAUACUAAACAACACUGUAUCUUUUCUAUGGUACACAUAUGCAUGUAAAUACACAAAGAAAAAUCUGAAGUGAUACACCCCAAACUGAGAAAAAUGGUUUUAUCUGGGAAGAAGAAGGAAGUGACUGGGAUUGGGGGUGGAGUCCAAAGGAUACUCUCACCAUUAUCUGUAAUGCUGUCAUUUUUCACAAAGAUAUUGUAUAACUUUGUAUUAUUGUACAAAGUUAAUUUUUAACCGGUUAAAACCCAACAACGAAAAGAAUGAAAAGAAACCUAAUUCAAGGUGUCAAUAAAAAUGUUUAAAAGGAAAACAUCCUUAAGCUCACAUUAAAAAAAUACUCCUUCAUUUUAUAGAAAUGGUAAAUGAAGAAAUAAGAAACCAAUUAUAAGACAUUAGCUGCCUGAGAAAGUCCAGGAACAUCUUCUCACUGGAAGAUUCUCAACGUGUCCUUGUGGACAUUUGGGGAAUGGGCAGCAAAUCAAUCCAUGCUCUCUCCUGUUCCGUGAUGUGGCCUAUUUCUGGGCCCUCAUCCCUUCAUAUUCAGUAUGAAUUUUGGUUUUAUCUCUUAUAAUGGAACUGAAAAUUAAAAUACCUCAGAGUCCAACUUUGAGGAGCGAGGCAAUAAGUGGAUGAAGGGAUACUUACAAAGAUCUCUCAAAAUACAACUGCAGCCACUUUCCAACAGGGAGGAUAAGAUGGAGUGCAGAAGUCAGCAGAGAGCUGUCCCUGGAAUCCUACAGGACAUGGCCAGAGACGACACAGGGCAUCUUUACUUCAUGGACACUCUGCAUUUACUUUCUGGUUUUUAUUGAGGAAUUUUACCUCAAAUUAUUAUAUUUUUCUCAUUACAUAUGUUUUCAAAUAAGUAGGAAAAAUUAGUACAUGCAUAUGGUUUAAAAAAAUCAAGUAGUACAAAAACAGUACAAUGAGAAGUCUUCCUUUAACUGCAGAUUCCAGUCCCCAGAGGCAGACACUCCUGAAAUACUCUGUCUAUAAAAGCACGUAUCGGGUUGGCCAAAAUGUUCAUUCGUUUUUUUCCGUAAGAUGCCUCUAGUAGCACUUAGUUGU